UACGUAGGUGGCAAGCGUUAUCCGGAAUUAUUGGGCGUAAAGGGCGCGUAGGCGGCCACGCACGUCCGUUGUGAAAUCGCCCGGCUCAACUGGGCGGGGUCGGCGGAUACGGCGUGGCUGGAGCAAGCUAGGGGGCAAUGGAAUUCCCGGUGUAGUGGUGGAAUGCGUAGAUAUCAGGAGGAACACCGGUGGCGAAGGCGGGUCUCUGGGCAACAACUGACGCUGAGGAGCGAAAGCGUGGGGAGCGAACAGG
Molecule: ribosomal RNA, 253 nt
Filed under: uncultured bacterium
Lineage: Bacteria
Description: partial 16S ribosomal RNA
Rfam family: Bacterial small subunit ribosomal RNA
Source: RNAcentral